GGGACAAGCCUUGCUCUCAGCCUGCAUCUUUCCAUGCACAAGUUGAACAACAUUUUUCAGCAGGCAGCAUCACCUUAGAGUUCCCUUCUGGAGCCCAGAGAGAAGCUCUGCCCCACCCACUCUGUCUGGCAAGCCUGUCUCCUUACAGGUAGGGAGGAUGGGUUUGUUUGCUACCCUCCAUGGCUGGGAAACA
This is a long non-coding RNA of Pogoniulus pusillus (Red-fronted tinkerbird), 193 nucleotides long. RefSeq lists it as uncharacterized. The record is from RefSeq and is a predicted model, not a curated record. The transcript is spliced from 2 exons. NCBI's taxonomy places the organism in Eukaryota, Metazoa, Chordata, Aves, Piciformes, Lybiidae.